GAUGAACGCUAGCGGGAGGCCUAACACAUGCAAGCCGAGCGGUAUUGUUUCUUCGGAAAUGAGAGAGCGGCGUACGGGUGCGGAACACGUGUGCAACCUGCCUUUAUCUGGGGGAUAGCCUUUCGAAAGGAAGAUUAAUACUCCAUAAUAUAUUGAACGGCAUCGUUUAAUAUUGAAAGCUCCGGCGGAUAGAGAUGGGCACGCGCAAGGUUAGCUAGUUGGUGAGGUAACGGCUCACCAAGGCGAUGAUCUUUAGGGGGCCUGAGAGGGUGAUCCCCCACACUGGUACUGAGACACGGACCAGACUCCUACGGGAGGCAGCAGUGAGGAAUAUUGGUCAAUGGGUGCAAGCCUGAACCAGCCAUCCCGCGUGAAGGACGACUGCCCUAUGGGUUGUAAACUUCUUUUGUAUAGGGAUAAACCUACCCUCGUGAGGGUAGCUGAAGGUACUAUACGAAUAAGCACCGGCUAACUCCGUGCCAGCAGCCGCGGUAAUACGGAGGGUGCAAGCGUUAUCCGGAUUUAUUGGGUUUAAAGGGUCCGUAGGCGGACUUAUAAGUCAGUGGUGAAAGCCUGUCGCUUAACGAUAGAACUGCCAUUGAUACUGUAAGUCUUGAGUAUAUUUGAGGUAGCUGGAAUAAGUAGUGUAGCGGUGAAAUGCAUAGAUAUUACUUAGAACACCAAUUGCGAAGGCAGGUUACCAAGAUAUAACUGACGCUGAGGGACGAAAGCGUGGGGAGCGAACAGGAUUAGAUACCCUGGUAGUCCACGCCGUAAACGAUGCUAACUCGUUUUUGGGCUUUAGGGUUCAGAGACCAAGCGAAAGUGAUAAGUUAGCCACCUGGGGAGUACGCUCGCAAGAGUGAAACUCAAAGGAAUUGGCGGGGGCCCGCACAAGCGGUGGAUUAUGUGGUUUAAUUCGAUGAUACGCGAGGAACCUUACCAAGACUUAAAUGGGAAUUGACAGCUUUAGAAAUAGAGCUUUCUUCGGACAAUUUUCAAGGUGCUGCAUGGUUGUCGUCAGCUCGUGCCGUGAGGUGUUAGGUUAAGUCCUGCAACGAGCGCAACCCCUGUCACUAGUUGCCAUCAUUCAGUUGGGGACUCUAGUGAGACUGCCUACGCAAGUAGAGAGGAAGGUGGGGAUGACGUCAAAUCAUCACGGCCCUUACGUCUUGGGCCACACACGUAAUACAAUGGCCGGUACAGAGGGCAGCUACACAGCGAUGUGAUGCAAAUCUCGAAAGCCGGUCUCAGUUCGGAUUGGAGUCUGCAACUCGACUCUAUGAAGCUGGAAUCGCUAGUAAUCGCGCAUCAGCCAUGGCGCGGUGAAUACGUUCCCGGGCCU
RNAcentral lists this ribosomal RNA (1345 nucleotides) under uncultured bacterium. Its description in RNAcentral is "bacterial SSU rRNA". It matches the Rfam family "Bacterial small subunit ribosomal RNA", at positions 28 to 1381 of the family's 1533-position model. The record is from RNAcentral.